CCCAGCCAGAACUGCAGCAACUGACCACAAGAGAGCCAGGGACGGACGAGGGAGUUGUUGCUGGCAUGCAAAAAUAUGGAGAACAGAGAGAGCUGAGGUUAAAACAGAGACUGUUCUUCAGAAAUAUCUAAGUCUUAUCAGAAAGAGCAUCCCAGCAUCUGAGAUCACCAGCAGUUCUCUUUCUUUCUGAUAGAUAAGAACACAAUCAUAGACAAAGAAAUGCUAACAACUUAUUUUGAGAGUCAUUCUGGAGAAACAUUUCUUCUUACUGUAUCAGCAUUGUUAUAAUCUUCAGUGUAUUGUUCAAAUGGUAAUGUCUGUC
Molecule: long non-coding RNA, 322 nt
Filed under: Gallus gallus (chicken)
Lineage: Eukaryota; Metazoa; Chordata; Aves; Galliformes; Phasianidae
Description: lncRNA (ENSGALG00010019037.1)
Source: RNAcentral